UGAAUACUAUUUAUUUAUAAUAAUCAGGUGCAUGAAACAAUUUAAUAAUAAUACAAUUAAAAAUCUUUAUAGCUUGGUUUAAUGUAGUGUAUUCAAGUUACUAAAAAUUAAAAAAUAUUGUUAAGUUACUUAGUUAAAAUGUCCUAUAAUACUAAAUACUUAAUUUCUUACAAGUCAUAAUGAAUAACAGUUAAUAAGUUUAUAAUAGUUGACCAUAUACUUAUUAUAUAGCGAUGAAUAAAAAUAUUGCGAACAAACCUUGUUUUUUUGAAACAGCUAAUGUUUUACCUAAUACUGUUGGCAGUUUACCAGACAAUGUACCAGUUAUUGAAUGUAAGUAUUUAAGUUUUGAUUAUAAGUAUUUUUAGUUAUUACUAUAAUUUAAUCACAGUAUUUAUUGGUUUUUGAAUAAAGUUUUUAAAGCAGUUGUGAAGUCAUUAAGGCAAGGGGAUUACCAUUUGGGGUCAUGAUUCAAAAAUAGGAAGUUCUAAUAAUGGAAAUUUGUUAAUAGCUUUAGA
Cinara cedri is the source of this 518-nucleotide non-coding RNA. The record is from the annotation of a GenBank genome assembly. Lineage: Eukaryota; Metazoa; Arthropoda; Insecta; Hemiptera; Aphididae.